CCUCGUCAGGACCUGGCUCUGCCCUCGGAGUCAGUCUGGAUCCAGGAGUGAUUCAUCUUACACAGAUGAGAGGGGGAUAAAAGGAAAAGAACAGUCAGGACAAAUGUGUUUUCAAUGGUGCUUAGCAGCAGGAGACCACUGGGACUUCAGAGCAACGCUACUGGAGUGUGACAUCAUAAUACGCCAAAUACCAGAGUCUCUCGCCUCUUGGAGUUUAUGGGCCAAUUUCUCCCAAGAUGUGUGAGCUUGUUGUGCCGCCGCCAGUGGACUCGCCAGCGGCUGAGCAGCUCAGAGUGACAGCGACUCAGCGUCUGGAAGCCCCACUGGGUUGUGAAAUGAAGAAGGCCUUCUUUGCCCCUGAUGCAGCCUGGGCGAGCCCCGAGGCUCCAGAAGCGAGCAUCUCCCAGCUCCUAAAGAGCAGACAUAUAUCCUGCCUUUAAGACAAGACUACAAUUGCAAAUCUGAGAAUAUAAAUUACACUUUCAUCUUUAAAAAAAAAAAAAAAAA
This 507-nucleotide long non-coding RNA is filed under the name Homo sapiens (human). Its description in RNAcentral is "long independently transcribed non-coding RNA 1739 (LINC01739)". Lineage: Eukaryota; Metazoa; Chordata; Mammalia; Primates; Hominidae. The record is from RNAcentral.